ACCCUGUAGCUCAGCUGGAUAGAGCGCCGACGUUACGAAUCUGGAGGUCGCGGGUUCAAGUCCCGCCAGGGUCU
Molecule: transfer RNA, 74 nt
Filed under: Corynebacterium variabile
Lineage: Bacteria; Bacillati; Actinomycetota; Actinomycetes; Mycobacteriales; Corynebacteriaceae
Also listed under: 1 other name
Description: tRNA-Arg
Rfam family: tRNA
About the family: Transfer RNA (tRNA) molecules are approximately 80 nucleotides in length. Their secondary structure includes four short double-helical elements and three loops (D, anti-codon, and T loops).
Source: RNAcentral